CCUACGGGAGGCAGCAGUGAGGAAUAUUGGUCAAUGGCCGUAAGGCUGAACCAGCCAAGUCGCGUGAAGGAAGAAGGAUCUAUGGUUUGUAAACUUCUUUUAUAGGGGAAUAAAGGUAUCCACGUGUGGAUAUUUGCAUGUACCCUAUGAAUAAGCAUCGGCUAACUCCGUGCCAGCAGCCGCGGUAAUACGGAGGAUGCGAGCGUUAUCCGGAUUUAUUGGGUUUAAAGGGAGCGUAGGUGGAUUGUUAAGUCAGUUGUGAAAGUUUGCGGCUCAACCGUAAAAUUGCAGUUGAAACUGGCAGUCUUGAGUACAGUAGAGGUGGGCGGAAUUCGUGGUGUAGCGGUGAAAUGCUUAGAUAUCACGAAGAACUCCGAUUGCGAAGGCAGCUCACUGGACUGCAACUGACACUGAGGCUCGAAAGUGUGGGUAUCAAACAGGAUUAGAUACCCGAGUAGUC
RNAcentral lists this ribosomal RNA (460 nucleotides) under uncultured bacterium. RNAcentral's name for it is "partial 16S ribosomal RNA". It matches the Rfam family "Bacterial small subunit ribosomal RNA", at positions 338 to 795 of the family's 1533-position model. The record is from RNAcentral.